UAGCAUAUCAAUAAGCGGAGGAAAAGAAACUAACAAGGAUUCCCCUAGUAACUGCGAGUGAAGCGGGAAAAGCUCAAAUUUAAAAUCUGGCGGUCUUUGGCCGUCCGAGUUGUAGUCUGGAGAAGUGUCUUCCGUGCUGGACCGUGUACAAGUCUCUUGGAACAGAGCGUCAUAGAGGGUGAGAAUCCCGUCUUUGACACGGACUACCAGUGCUUUGUGAUGCACUCUCAAAGAGUCGCGUUGUUUGGGAAUGCAGCGCAAAAUGGGUGGUAAAUUCCAUCUAAAGCUAAAUAUUGGCGAGAGACCGAUAGCGAACAAGUACCGUGAGGGAAAGAUGAAAAGCACUUUGGAAAGAGAGUUAAACAGUACGUGAAAUUGCUGAAAGGGAAACGCUUGAAGUCAGUCGCGUUGACCAGAACUCAGCCUUGCUUCGGCUUGGUGCAUUUUCUGGUUGACGGGCCAGCAUCAGUUUUGACUGUAGGAUAAAGGUCAUUGGAAUGUGGCACCUUCGGGUGUGUUAUAGCCUUUGAUUGUAUACUAUGGUUGGGACUGAGGAACUCAGCACGCCUUUAUGGUCGGGGUUCGCCCACGUACGUGCUUAGGAUGCUGGCGUAAUGGCUUUAAACGACCCGUCUUGAAACACGGACCAAGGAGUCUAACAUACCUGCGAGUGUUUGGGUGGUAAACCCGAGCGCGUAAUGAAAGUGAAAGUUGGGAUCUCUGUCGUGGAGAGCACCGACGCCCGGACCAGACCUUCUGUGACGGCUCCGAGGUAGAGCAUGUAUGUUGGGACCCGAAAGAUGGUGAACUAUGCCUGAAUAGGGUGAAGCCAGAGGAAACUCUGGUGGAGGCUCGUAGCGAUUCUGACGUGCAAAUCGAUCGUCAAAUUUGGGUAUAGGGGCGAAAGACUAAUCGAACCAUCUAGUAGCUGGUUCCUGCAGA
Molecule: ribosomal RNA, 942 nt
Filed under: Hermanssonia centrifuga
Lineage: Eukaryota; Fungi; Basidiomycota; Agaricomycetes; Polyporales; Meruliaceae
Description: LSU rRNA
Rfam family: Eukaryotic large subunit ribosomal RNA
Source: RNAcentral